CCUACGGGAGGCAGCAGUGAGGAAUAUUGGUCAAUGGACGAGAGUCUGAACCAGCCAAGUAGCGUGAGGGAUGACUGCCCUAUGGAUUGUAAACUUCUUUUGUAUGGGAAUAAAAUCGUCCACGGGUGGGCUGUUGUGUGUACCAGAUGAAUAAGCAUCGGCUAACUCCGUGCCAGCAGCCGCGGUAAUACGGAGGAUCCGAGCGUUAUCCGGAUUUAUUGGGUUUAAAGGGAGCGUAGGCGGAUGCUGAAGUCAGUUGUGAAAGUUGGGGGCUUAACCGCAAAACUGCAGUUGAAACUGGCAGUCUUGAGUACAGGAGAGGUGGGCGGAAUUCGUGGUGUAGCGGUGAAAUGCUUAGAUAUCACGAAGAACUCCGAUUGCGAAGGCAGCUUACUGGACUGCAACUGACACUGAGGCUCGAAAGCGUGGGUAUCAAACAGGAUUAGAUACCCGAGUAGUC
This 460-nucleotide ribosomal RNA is filed under the name uncultured bacterium. RNAcentral's name for it is "partial 16S ribosomal RNA". It matches the Rfam family "Bacterial small subunit ribosomal RNA", at positions 338 to 795 of the family's 1533-position model. The record is from RNAcentral.